UACGGGGGGAGCAAGCGUUGUUCGGAUUUACUGGGCGUAAAGGGCGCGUAGGCGGUCGUGACAAGUCACUUGUGAAAUCUCCGGGCUUAACUCGGAACGGUCAAGUGAUACUGUCGGACUAGAGUACAGAAGGGGCAACUGGAAUUCUCGGUGUAGCGGUGAAAUGCGUAGAUAUCGAGAGGAACACCUGCGGCGAAGGCGGUUCUCUGGGCCUGUACUGACGCUGGAGGAGCGAAAGCGUGGGGAGCGAACAGG
Molecule: ribosomal RNA, 255 nt
Filed under: uncultured bacterium
Lineage: Bacteria
Description: partial 16S ribosomal RNA
Rfam family: Bacterial small subunit ribosomal RNA
Source: RNAcentral